GUGGGGAAUAUUGCGCAAUGGGGGAAACCCUGACGCAGCAACGCCGCGUGAGUGAUGAAGGCUUUCGAGUCGUAAAACUCUGUCUUUGGGGACGAAUAAUGACGGUACCCAAGGAGGAAGCCCCGGCUAACUACGUGCCAGCAGCCGCGGUAAUACGUAGGGGGCAAGCGUUGUCCGGAAUCACUGGGCGUAAAGGGCGCGUAGGCGGUUUGUUAAGUCAGGUGUGAAAGUUUUCAGCUUAACUGGAAAAGUGCACUUGAAACUAACUUACUUGAGUACUGGAGAGGUAAGCGGAAUUCCUAGUGUAGCGGUGAAAUGCGUAGAUAUUAGGAAGAACACCGGUGGCGAAGGCGGCUUACUGGACAGAGACUGACGCUGAGGCGCGAAAGCGUGGGGAGCGAACAGGAUUAGAAACCCUAGUAGUCC
Molecule: ribosomal RNA, 426 nt
Filed under: uncultured bacterium
Lineage: Bacteria
Description: partial 16S ribosomal RNA
Rfam family: Bacterial small subunit ribosomal RNA
Source: RNAcentral